Molecule: ribosomal RNA, 329 nt
Filed under: uncultured eukaryote
Lineage: Eukaryota
Description: partial 18S ribosomal RNA
Rfam family: Eukaryotic small subunit ribosomal RNA
Source: RNAcentral
CCCUUAGAUGUUCUGGGCCGCACGCGCGCUACACUGAUGCAUUCAACGAGUCUAAAACCUGCUCUGAUAGUGGUGGGUAAUCUUUUGAAUGUGCAUCGUGAUUGGGAUAGAUGAUUGCAAUUUUUCAUCUUCAACGAGGAAUGCCUAGUAAACGCAAGUCAUCAGCUUGUAUUGAUUACGUCCCUGCCCUUUGUACACACCGCCCGUCGCUCCUACCGAUUGAAUGAUCCGAUGAAUAUCAUGGAUUGAGGAUGCAAGUAGGUUAGCCUAUCUUCAUCUUCGAGAAGUGAAGUAAAUCUUAUCAUUUAGAGGAAGGAGAAGUCGUAACA